GUUGCUCUGUUUUCUUCAUAAAUCCAUUCGCUCUCUUUCGCUCUCUGUUUGAAGUGCAUUAAAUUGUAUACACUUUUCUCAUUUGAGGACUUUUCUUGCCUAAAUCUCAUUGUGGAAGUUUUAGAUUGAUAUCUUGUACUGAACAUGUGUAGGUUUUGUUCUUUAUUUUGAUGCAACAUUAUACGAUGUAAAUACCUAUGAGAUUAUGGAUCACAUCACAGUGCCACAUAAAUUGAGUUGGUAUAGUUACUUAUUUCCACCCAGUCUACUAUUUAGGUUGAAAGUUUUUAAUUGUUUUAGGGUUCUUAUGGAUCAUGUGUCGCCUCGUUCUCGCUUGAAUUACAACCUUGUCACUGCAGUAGUCCUAAGAAGGUGAAUUUUCUGAUACCAUUAUCCUUAUAAAUAUUGCAACAUUUUGUUUCAAUUUAUGGAGUCGGUCACCGUUUAGAGCAAA
Cucurbita moschata (crookneck pumpkin) is the source of this 454-nucleotide long non-coding RNA. RefSeq lists it as uncharacterized. The transcript has 2 exons. The record is from RefSeq and is a predicted model, not a curated record. Lineage: Eukaryota; Viridiplantae; Streptophyta; Magnoliopsida; Cucurbitales; Cucurbitaceae.